This 201-nucleotide ribosomal RNA is filed under the name uncultured bacterium. Its description in RNAcentral is "partial 16S ribosomal RNA". It matches the Rfam family "Bacterial small subunit ribosomal RNA", at positions 328 to 539 of the family's 1533-position model. The record is from RNAcentral.
ACGCUCGACACCUACGGGAGGCAGCAGUCGGGAAUAUUGCGCAAUGGAGGAAACUCUGACGCAGUGACGCCGCGUAUAGGAAGAAGGUUUUCGGAUUGUAAACUAUUGUCGUUAGGGAAGAAAAAGGACAGUACCUAAGGAGGAAGUUCNCCGGCUAACUACGUACCAGCAGCCGCGGUAAUCUGAGCGGGCUGGCAAGGC